CCUACGGGGGGCAGCAGUGAGGAAUAUUGGUCAAUGGCCGGAAGGCUGAACCAGCCAUGCCGCGUGAAGGUCAGUGCCCUAUGGGCGUUAAACUUCUUUUGUGCGGGAGCAAUAAUGGUCACGUGUGGCCAGACGAGAGUACCGUACGAAUAAGCAUCGGCUAACUCCGUGCCAGCAGCCGCGGUAAUACGGGGGAUGCAAGCGUUAUCCGGAUUUAUUGGGUUUAAAGGGUGCGUAGGCUGUGAGGUAAGUCAGCGGUGAAAUGCCCCCGCUCAACGGGGUGAAGUGACAUUGAUACUGCCUGGCUGGAAUGCGGAUGCCGUGGGAGGAAUGUGUGGUGUAGCGGUGAAAUGCAUAGAUAUCACACAGAACACCGAUUGCGAAGGCAUCUCACGAAUCCGCGAUUGACGCGGAUGCACGAAAGCGUGGGUAUCAAACAGGAUUAGAUACCCUAGUAGUC
RNAcentral lists this ribosomal RNA (460 nucleotides) under uncultured bacterium. Its description in RNAcentral is "partial 16S ribosomal RNA". It matches the Rfam family "Bacterial small subunit ribosomal RNA", at positions 338 to 795 of the family's 1533-position model. The record is from RNAcentral.